Molecule: long non-coding RNA, 612 nt
Organism: Hyposmocoma kahamanoa
Lineage: Eukaryota; Metazoa; Arthropoda; Insecta; Lepidoptera; Cosmopterigidae
Exons: 4
Source: RefSeq, a predicted model, not a curated record
UACAUAAGUACCUUGGCCAGGGCUUCGCCUCUGAACAUAGUUUUUUAUCUUAAGAGUUUACAGUUUAAUAAAGCUCAGCGGAAGAACAAAUCAUGAUGCUGAAACGUAAGCGUUCAUAAAAAACGAAGGACCGCCCUCGAAACGAUUAACUCUCCCCGUCGUGUGAAUCACCUGUUUCGGCAGACAACAUUGAAGAGACCUGCCUGACAAAAAAAACUUGAAAAGUAGUAAAACACAAAAAUGGGCGCGGCGACAAAGAUUUUUAAGCUUUUACUAAUUAUCACCAGUAUCAUAUUAGGGAUUCUGGGUCUAGUAAUCGGAGGUUUGGGUGCAGGUUUCGUAAGAUUUCUCACCUUUUACGCCUUACUGAACGUGCAAGGGUUCAUCGUACAGGGAAUUUUGAUGUUCAUAGUCGGCGUAGUCAUCGUCAUAAUGGCUGCAUGCGGGUUCCUCGGUUUGGUUACAAGAUUCCAGCCUGUACUUAUGGCGUACGUAAUCAUAAUGGUGCCGUUGGUGACAGUGGAGAUGUAUAUAAUGGCGCAGUCGGUAACUCUAAGCAAAAGGGCGUACACCUGGGUUAACAGUACCUACUGUGAAAAAUUCCACGUCAAA